This 274-nucleotide ribosomal RNA is filed under the name uncultured bacterium. RNAcentral's name for it is "partial 16S ribosomal RNA". It matches the Rfam family "Bacterial small subunit ribosomal RNA", at positions 523 to 796 of the family's 1533-position model. The record is from RNAcentral.
AUACGGAGGGUGCAAGCGUUAUUCGGAAUCACUGGGCGUAAAGGACGCGUAGGCGGGUUGGCAAGUCAGAUGUGAAAUCAUACAGCUUAACUGUAGAACUGCAUUUGAAACUGCUAACCUAGAGUAUGGGAGGGGGAGAUGGAAUUAGUGGUGUAGGGGUAAAAUCCGUAGAUAUCACUAGGAAUACCGAAAGCGAAGGCGAUCUCCUGGAACAUAACUGACGCUAAGGCGUGAAAGCGUGGGGAGCAAACAGGAUUAGAAACCCCAGUAGUCC